CUCACAAUAAAACCCUAGCCGCCGCACUCACGGGCUCACUCAUCAUUAGUUUAAGUGUGAGGCAGCGGCGUGCAUCGGCGCCGGAGGCGCGCUCCGCCUCUCCGCUCGCCCUGCUCGCCGCGGCCGAUGACCGCACCACCCGAGACCGCGGCCACACGAAAAAACGGCGGCGAUGAGGAGGCCCGGCCCUUGGCGCCGACCCGCGCUCCCGAGCGGCGGCGGCGUCGGAUCCGGCCGCCCCGCGGGGCCAGCCCUCCCGUCCGCGCCGCGCCGCGUCGCCGCCGGCAUGGAGGCCCGUGCUCGGGCAGCCGCCGCGGCGUCGUCGGCGUCGGUGCGGCGGCGGGGUCUUUGGGGACCGCGUGGCGGGGGACCGGCGCGGCUUCCGGUCGAGGGUUCCGGCGACGCCAAGCCGUAGAUCUGAGCCGCCGUCUGCACCUCGCUUCCUCCCAUGUUUCGAUCUGGAUUCUAUAAACGAGAGAGAAGAGGUUUCAAGCAUUGCUUGGUGCAUGUACAUUGAAGAAUUCAUGGAUUGUGGGGGUAUCAGUUAGAGCUGGAUUUAAAUUCCUUCACGAGCCCCCCGCAUAAAGAGAUUAUACAAACGAGAGAGAAAAGAGGCUCCAGAAGUUCUUAUAACCCAGCUCAAGUGGUUUCAAGCAUUGCUUGGUGCAACUAUAUGUAAGAAUUCACAGAUCGUGGAGUAUCAUUUAGAGCUGGAUUUUAAUUCCUUAAUGAGCCCCAGCAUAAAGAGUGAUAAAAAGUGAGUUUUGUUUCUUCUCUUUUGAUCAAAUUCCCCAUGCAGGCAAGUAUAUUGCUGAUGCAUAAUUUGUUGCUUCAGGGAUCUCAAAAAUAUGAUUUGUAUGGAGCUGUACAACAUUAGGGUGAAUCUUUAUUGGGUGGUCACCUACGUUUGCUAUAUCCAUUUGUUACAAAAUGAUUAAUUUCUAAUAAUAAUGAUGCGUUGAAUUUAUCUAAAUAUACUAAUAUUUCUUACAUCCUUCACUCAGUUACAUGAUUCUAAAAUUUGUACUCUGUAGUUCGAGAAAAUUGGCAAAUAUUAAAGUUUUGAGUCAUAAAGUAUAUAUUUUAUACCAUGUCAAUGAAGGUUCAUUCCAUUGGUUCUCUGCCUUAAGAAUGGCAGUUAUAACUUGGACUUUAAUAAUUCUCUAGCUGAAUCGGUCCUCAUACCAGUAGCUUCCAACUGCGACAACAUUAGUAAGGGCAAGUGCAUUAUUGAUCUGGUUAUUACUCAAGAGAAAGCAAUGUCAGAGGAGUUUUAGGAACAGUCUGAAGAGAAGCUGAUUAUUUAUAUUUGAGGAGAGUUUAUAUUCAGACUGCUGUUGAAGCUCAUCUGGCAUUGCUUUCUCUUGAAGUGUAGUCUCAUUAUUAAUGCACUUGCCCUUAGUAAUGCUGUCAGAGUUGGAACCUACUGGUCUGAGCAGCAGUUCAGCUGAAGAAUUGUCAAAAACCGAGCCAUGGAAACGUUGUUUACUUUCUUAAGUAAUGUGGAGAACCAAGGGGAUAAACCUUGCUUGACAUAGAAUGAAAGAUAUGCUUCGUGGCACAAAGCUUGAUAUUCGCCAAUUUUCUAACCUACAACAUAGAAGUUUAGAAUCAUGUAAUUGGGUGAAAGAUGCAAGAAAUAUUAGUAGCUGUAGUGAUCAUUUAUGAGAAACCAAUCAAUUUGUGACAAGUGGAUAUAGCAAACGUAGUGACGGACCAAUAAUGAUUAACCCCGGUUUGUGAAUGGCGCAUGACUUUA
Molecule: long non-coding RNA, 1759 nt
Organism: Triticum aestivum (bread wheat)
Lineage: Eukaryota; Viridiplantae; Streptophyta; Magnoliopsida; Poales; Poaceae
Exons: 3
Source: RefSeq, a predicted model, not a curated record